Molecule: ribosomal RNA, 468 nt
Filed under: uncultured bacterium
Lineage: Bacteria
Description: partial 16S ribosomal RNA
Rfam family: Bacterial small subunit ribosomal RNA
Source: RNAcentral
GACGAACGCUGGCGGCGUGCUUAACACAUGCAAGUCGAACGGAAAGGCCCUGCUUUUGUGGGGUGCUCGAGUGGCGAACGGGUGAGUAACACGUGAGUAACCUGCCCUUGACUUUGGGAUAACUUCAGGAAACUGGGGCUAAUACCGGAUAGGAGCUCCUGCUGCAUGGUGGGGGUUGGAAAGUUUCGGCGGUUGGGGAUGGACUCGCGGCUUAUCAGCUUGUUGGUGGGGUAGUGGCUUACCAAGGCUUUGACGGGUAGCCGGCCUGAGAGGGUGACCGGCCACAUUGGGACUGAGAUAGGGCCCAGACUCCUACGGGAGGCAGCAGUGGGGAAUAUUGCACAAUGGGCGGAAGCCUGAUGCAGAAACGCCGCGUGCGGGAUGACGGCCUUCGGGUUGUAAACCGCUUUCGCCUGUGACGAAGCGUGAGUGACGGUAAUGGGUAAAGAAGCACCGGCUAACUACGUG